GUGUUUGCUUUGCAGCACCUAUACUAAAAUUGGAAAAAUACAGAGAUUAGCAUGACCCCUGUGCAAGGAUGACAUGCAAAUUCGUGAAGCAGUCCAUAUUUUU
Small nuclear RNA from Fukomys damarensis (Damara mole-rat), 103 nucleotides. The record is from Ensembl. NCBI's taxonomy places the organism in Eukaryota, Metazoa, Chordata, Mammalia, Rodentia, Bathyergidae.